AGACCCGAAACCCGGUGAUCUAGCCAUGGGCAGGUUGAAGGUUGGGUAACACUAACUGGAGGACCGAACCGACUAAUGUUGAAAAAUUAGCGGAUGACCUGUGGCUGGGGGUGAAAGGCCAAUCAAACCGGGAGAUAGCUGGUUCUCCCCGAAAGCUAUUUAGGUAGCGCCUCGUGAAUUCAUCUCCGGGGGUAGAGCACUGUUUCGGCUAGGGGGCCAUCCCGGCUUACCAACCCGAUGCAAACUGCGAAUACCGGAGAAUGUUAUCACGGGAGACACACGGCGGGUGCUAACGUCCGUCGUGAAGAGGGAAACAACCCAGACCGCCAGCUAAGGUCCCAAAGUCAUGGUUAAGUGGGAAACGAUGUGGGAAGGCCCAGACAGCCAGGAUGUUGGCUUAGAAGCAGCCAUCAUUUAAAGAAAGCGUAAUAGCUCACUGGUCGAGUCGGCCUGCGCGGAAGAUGUAACGGGGCUAAACCAUGCACCGAAGCUGCGGCAGCGACACUGUGUGUUGUUGGGUAGGGGAGCGUUCUGUAAGCCUGCGAAGGUGGCCUGUGAGGGUUGCUGGAGGUAUCAGAAGUGCGAAUGCUGACAUAAGUAACGAUAAAGCGGGUGAAAAGCCCGCUCGCCGGAAGACCAAGGGUUCCUGU
Molecule: ribosomal RNA, 650 nt
Filed under: Salmonella enterica subsp. enterica
Lineage: Bacteria; Pseudomonadati; Pseudomonadota; Gammaproteobacteria; Enterobacterales; Enterobacteriaceae
Description: partial 23S ribosomal RNA
Rfam family: Bacterial large subunit ribosomal RNA
Source: RNAcentral